CGUGAGGGAAAGGUGAAAAGAACCCCGGGAGGGGAGUGAAAGAGAACCUGAAACCAUAUGCCUACAAGAAGUCAGAGCCCGUUAAAGGGUGAUGGCGUGCCUUUUGUAGAAUGAACCGGCGAGUUACUGUAUGGAGCGAGGUUAAGCAGGAUAUGCGGAGCCGAAGCGAAAGCGAGUCUUAAGAGGGCGCGAGUUGCAUGCAGUAGACCCGAAACCGGGUGAUCUAGCCAUGACCAGGUUGAAGUUGGGGUAAAACCCGAUGGAGGACCGAACCGACCCCCGUUGAAACGUUGGCGGAUGAGUUGUGGCUAGGGGUGAAAUUCCAAUCGAACCCGGAGAUAGCUGGUUCUCCCCGAAAUAGCUUUAGGGCUAGCGUCGAGAGAAGAGUUGCGUGAAGGUAGAGCACUGAAUAUGUGAUGGCCCCAUCUCGGGGUACUGAGCAUAAUCAAACUGCGAAUGUCACGCCAACAUGCUCGGCAGUCAGACAGCGGGUGAUAAGGUCCGUUGUCAAGAGGGAAACAGCCCAGACCAUCAGCUAAGGUCCCAAAAUGUAUGCUAAGUGGAAAAGGAUGUGGAGAUGUACAGACAACUAGGAGGUUGGCUCAGAAGCAGCCAUCCUUUAAAGAGUGCGUAACAGCUCACUAGUCGAAUGACUCUGCGCCGAUAAUUUACCGGGGCUAAGCAUACUACCGAAGCUAUGGAUCCCAAGGGAUGGUAGGGGAGCGUUCCAUGAACGGAGAAGUACGACCGAAAGGACGUGUGGAGAUCAUGGAAGAGAGAAUGCCGGUGUGAGUAGCGGAACGUGGGUGAGAAUCCCACGCACCGAAAACCCAAGGUUUCCAGAGGAAGGUUCGUCCGCUCUGGGUAAGUCGGGACCUAAGGCGAGGCCGAAAGGCGUAGUCGAUGGACAACAGGUAGAGAUUCCUGUACCCGUAUAUAUGUGAAGGAAUGACGGAGAGAGGAAGCUGCAGCCAGCGGCUGGAAGAGCUGGUGCAAGCGAGAUAUCGGGAUGGCAGGCAAAUCCACCAUCCGAAACGAGAAGGCGUGAAGCGUACGGAAAGCUACGGCGAGUACGGAAGGCAGUGGAGGAACUUCCAAGAAAAGUUUCUAACGUUAAGUAUAUAUGGCCCGUACCGAAAAUGGACACACAUGGGUGAGGAGAGAAUCCUAAGGUGAGCGAGAGAACUAUAGCUAAGGAACUCUGCAAAAUGACUCCGUAACUUAGGGAGAAGGAGUGCUCAUAGAGAUAUGAGCCGCAGUGAAACGGCCCAAGCGACUGUUUACCAAAAACACAGCUCUCUGCUAAGCCGCAAGGCGAAGUAUAGGGGGUGACGCCUGCCCGGUGCUGGAAGGUUAAGGGGAGGGGUUAACGCAAGUGAAGCCCUGAACUGAAGCCCCAGUAAACGGCGGCCGUAACUAUAACGGUCCUAAGGUAGCGAAAUUCCUUGUCAGGUAAGUUCUGACCCGCACGAAAGGCGUAACGAUUUGGGCGCUGUCUCAGCUGUAGACUCGGUGAAGUCUUAGUACCUGUGAAGAUGCAGGUUACCCGCGACUAGACGGAAAGACCCCAUGGAGCUUCACUGCAGGUUGAUAUUGGGAUUUGAUGCAGCAUGUACAGGAUAGGUAGGAGGCAAAGAGAUGGAUACGCCAGUAUUCAAGGAGCCGCUGUUGGGAUACUACCCCUGUUGUAUUGGAUUUCUAACCGGACGACGUAGAGCCGUUGACGGGACAGUGUCAGUCGGGCAGUUUGACUGGGGCGGUCGCCUCCCAAAGAGUAACGGAGGCGCCCAAAGAUACCCUCAGCUUGGAUGGAAACCAAGCGCAGAGUGCAAAGGCAAAAGGGUGUUUGACUGCGAGACCUACAAGUCGAGCAGGGACGAAAGUCGGGCUUAGUGAUCCGGCGGUGCUGAAUGGAAAGGCCGUCGCUCAACGGAUAAAAGCUACCCUGGGGAUAACAGGCUGAUCUCCCCCAAGAGUUCACAUCGACGGGGAGGUUUGGCACCUCGAUGUCGGCUCAUCGCAUCCUGGAGCUGAAGUCGGUUCCAAGGGUUGGGCUGUUCGCCCAUUAAAGCGGUACGCGAGCUGGGUUCAGAACGUCGUGAGACAGUUCGGUCCCUAUCUGUCGUGGGCGCAGGAAAUUUGAGAAGAGCUGUCCUCAGUACGAGAGGACCGGGAUGGACGCAUCAAUGGUGGACCAGUUGUCACGCCAGUGGCAUAGCUGGGUAGCUAAAUGCGGAAGGGAUAAACGCUGAAGGCAUCUAAGUGUGAAACCCACUUCAAGAUGAGAUUUCCCAUUGCGCAAGCAAGUAAGACCCCUUAAAGACGAUAAGGUAGAUAGGUCAGGAGUGUAAGCAUGGUGACAUGUUAAGCGGACUGAUACUAAUAGGUCGAGGGCUUGACCG
Molecule: ribosomal RNA, 2402 nt
Filed under: human gut metagenome
Description: bacterial LSU rRNA
Rfam family: Bacterial large subunit ribosomal RNA
Source: RNAcentral